This 222-nucleotide ribosomal RNA is filed under the name Funneliformis mosseae. RNAcentral describes it as "partial large subunit ribosomal RNA". Lineage: Eukaryota; Fungi; Glomeromycota; Glomeromycetes; Glomerales; Glomeraceae. The record is from RNAcentral.
CAAANCCUUCGNAUUCGCGGGNUUGGNANCUCUUGGCGUACUUUUUCGCACGGUUAGUCAACAUCGGUUUUGAAUGUCNUAAAAUGACUGGAGGAAUGUAGCUUCGAUCUCGUAUUGAAGUGUUAUAGCCUUUGGNAGAUGUGAUGUUUGAGACCGAGGAUUGCAACGGAUACCCUUCAGGGCUAUUCGUCUGAUCUCUGAUACGUUGCCUUGAUGUUGAAA